Molecule: ribosomal RNA, 1294 nt
Filed under: Lactiplantibacillus paraplantarum
Lineage: Bacteria; Bacillati; Bacillota; Bacilli; Lactobacillales; Lactobacillaceae
Description: bacterial SSU rRNA
Rfam family: Bacterial small subunit ribosomal RNA
Source: RNAcentral
AUUGAUUGGUGCUUGCAUCAUGAUUUACAUUUGAGUGAGUGGCGAACUGGUGAGUAACACGUGGGAAACCUGCCCAGAAGCGGGGGAUAACACCUGGAAACAGAUGCUAAUACCGCAUAACAACUUGGACCGCAUGGUCCGAGUUUGAAAGAUGGCUUCGGCUAUCACUUUUGGAUGGUCCCGCGGCGUAUUAGCUAGAUGGUGGGGUAACGGCUCACCAUGGCAAUGAUACGUAGCCGACCUGAGAGGGUAAUCGGCCACAUUGGGACUGAGACACGGCCCAAACUCCUACGGGAGGCAGCAGUAGGGAAUCUUCCACAAUGGACGAAAGUCUGAUGGAGCAACGCCGCGUGAGUGAAGAAGGGUUUCGGCUCGUAAAACUCUGUUGUUAAAGAAGAACAUAUCUGAGAGUAACUGUUCAGGUAUUGACGGUAUUUAACCAGAAAGCCACGGCUAACUACGUGCCAGCAGCCGCGGUAAUACGUAGGUGGCAAGCGUUGUCCGGAUUUAUUGGGCGUAAAGCGAGCGCAGGCGGUUUUUUAAGUCUGAUGUGAAAGCCUUCGGCUCAACCGAAGAAGUGCAUCGGAAACUGGGAAACUUGAGUGCAGAAGAGGACAGUGGAACUCCAUGUGUAGCGGUGAAAUGCGUAGAUAUAUGGAAGAACACCAGUGGCGAAGGCGGCUGUCUGGUCUGUAACUGACGCUGAGGCUCGAAAGUAUGGGUAGCAAACAGGAUUAGAUACCCUGGUAGUCCAUACCGUAAACGAUGAAUGCUAAGUGUUGGAGGGUUUCCGCCCUUCAGUGCUGCAGCUAACGCAUUAAGCAUUCCGCCUGGGGAGUACGGCCGCAAGGCUGAAACUCAAAGGAAUUGACGGGGGCCCGCACAAGCGGUGGAGCAUGUGGUUUAAUUCGAAGCUACGCGAAGAACCUUACCAGGUCUUGACAUACUAUGCAAAUCUAAGAGAUUAGACGUUCCCUUCGGGGACAUGGAUACAGGUGGUGCAUGGUUGUCGUCAGCUCGUGUCGUGAGAUGUUGGGUUAAGUCCCGCAACGAGCGCAACCCUUAUUAUCAGUUGCCAGCAUUAAGUUGGGCACUCUGGUGAGACUGCCGGUGACAAACCGGAGGAAGGUGGGGAUGACGUCAAAUCAUCAUGCCCCUUAUGACCUGGGCUACACACGUGCUACAAUGGAUGGUACAACGAGUUGCGAACUCGCGAGAGUAAGCUAAUCUCUUAAAGCCAUUCUCAGUUCGGAUUGUAGGCUGCAUCUCGCCUACAUGAAGUCGGAAUUGCUUA